Non-coding RNA from Acanthosepion pharaonis, 99 nucleotides. The record is from the annotation of a GenBank genome assembly. NCBI's taxonomy places the organism in Eukaryota, Metazoa, Mollusca, Cephalopoda, Sepiida, Sepiidae.
UUUGACUCACCGGAUCCCGUACGAUCACCGAACUUAAACAACGUCGGGCCUAAUGAGGACCAAGAUGGGUGUCCCUUUGCGGAUAUCAGGUGCUGUCAG